UGCUCUUAUGAAGUUAGCGGCGGACGGGUGAGUAACACGUGGGUAACCUGCCCAUAAGACUGGGAUAACUCCGGGAAACCGGGGCUAAUACCGGAUAACAUUUUUAACCGCAUGGUUCGAAAUUGAAAGGCGGCUUCGGCUGUCACUUAUGGAUGGACCCGCGUCGCAUUAGCUAGUUGGUGAGGUAACGGCUCACCAAGGCAACGAUGCGUAGCCGACCUGAGAGGGUGAUCGGCCACACUGGGACUGACACACGGCCCAGACUCCUACGGGAGGCAGCAGUAGGGAAUCUUCCGCAAUGGACGAAAGUCUGACGGAGCAACGCCGCGUGAGUGAUGAAGGCUUUCGGGUCGUAAAACUCUGUUGUUAGGGAAGAACAAGUGCUAGUUGAAUAAGCUGGCACCUUGACGGUACCUAACCAGAAAGCCACGGCUAACUACGUGCCAGCAGCCGCGGUAAUACGUAGGUGGCAAGCGUUAUCCGGAAUUAUUGGGCGUAAAGCGCGCGCAGGUGGUUUCUUAAGUCUGAUGUGAAAGCCCACGGCUCAACCGUGGAGGGUCAUUGGAAACUGGGAGACUUGAGUGCAAAAGAGGAAAGUGGAAUUCCAUGUGUAGCGGUGAAAUGCGUAGAGAUAUGGAGGAACACCACUGGCGAAGGCGACUUUCUGGUCUGUAACUGACACUGAAAGGCGUGGGGGAGCCAACAGGAUUAGAUACCCUGGUAGUUCACGCCGUAAAUGAUGAGUGAUAAGUGGUAGAGGGUUUUCGCCCUUUAAUGCUGAAGUUAACGCAUUAAACAAUCCGCCUGGGGAGUACGGCCGCAAGGGUGAAACUCAAAGGAAUUGACGGGGGCCCGCACAAGCGGUGGAGCAUGUGGUUUAAUUCGAAGC
This 889-nucleotide ribosomal RNA is filed under the name Bacillus cereus. RNAcentral describes it as "bacterial SSU rRNA". It matches the Rfam family "Bacterial small subunit ribosomal RNA", at positions 79 to 957 of the family's 1533-position model. Lineage: Bacteria; Bacillati; Bacillota; Bacilli; Caryophanales; Bacillaceae. The record is from RNAcentral.